GAUGAACGCUGGCGGCGUGCUUAACACAUGCAAGUCGAACGAUGAAGCCAGCUUGCUGGUGGAUUAGUGGCGAACGGGUGAGUAACACGUGAGUAACCUGCCCUUAACUCUGGGAUAAGCCUGGGAAACUGGGUCUAAUACCGGAUAUGACUUCCCAUCGCAUGGUGGGGGGUGGAAAGCUUUUGUGGUUUUGGAUGGACUCGUGGCCUAUCAGCUUGUUGGUGAGGUAAUGGCUCACCAAGGCGACGACGGGUAGCCGGCCUGAGAGGGUGACCGGCCACACUGGUACUGAGACACGGCCCAGACUCCUACGGGAGGCAGCAGUGGGGAAUAUUGCACAAUGGGCGGAAGCCUGAUGCAGCGACGCCGCGUGAGGGAUGACGGCCUUCGGGUUGUAAACCUCUUUCAGUAGGGAAGAAGCGUAAGUGACGGUACCUGCAGAAGAAGCGCCGGCCAACUACGUGCCAGCAGCCGCAGUAA
Molecule: ribosomal RNA, 480 nt
Filed under: uncultured bacterium
Lineage: Bacteria
Description: partial 16S ribosomal RNA
Rfam family: Bacterial small subunit ribosomal RNA
Source: RNAcentral